This 1447-nucleotide ribosomal RNA is filed under the name uncultured bacterium. RNAcentral's name for it is "bacterial SSU rRNA". It matches the Rfam family "Bacterial small subunit ribosomal RNA". The record is from RNAcentral.
GAGUUUGAUCCUGGCUCAGGAUGAACGCUGGCGGCGUGCUUAACACAUGCAAGUCGAACGAACCUUCGGGUUAGUGGCGGACGGGUGAGUAACGCGUGGGAAUCUGCCCUCAGGAGGGGGAUAACGGCUGGAAACGGCCGCUAAUACCCCAUAUGCCGAGAGGUGAAAUGAAUUUCGCCUGAGGAUGAGCCCGCGUCUGAUUAGCUAGUUGGUGAGGUAAGAGCUCACCAAGGCAUCGAUCAGUAGCUGGUCUGAGAGGAUGAUCAGCCACACUGGGACUGAGACACGGCCCAGACUCCUACGGGAGGCAGCAGUGGGGAAUUUUCCGCAAUGGGCGAAAGCCUGACGGAGCAACGCCGCGUGAGGGAUGAAGGCCUCUGGGCUGUAAACCUCUUUUCUCAAGGAAGAAGAUCUGACGGUACUUGAGGAAUAAGCCACGGCUAAUUCCGUGCCAGCAGCCGCGGUAAUACGGGAGUGGCAAGCGUUAUCCGGAAUUAUUGGGCGUAAAGCGUCCGCAGGCGGCCCUUCAAGUCUGCUGUUAAAAAGUGGAGCUUAACUCCAUCAUGGCAGUGGAAACUGUUGGGCUUGAGUGUGGUAGGGGCAGAGGGAAUUCCCGGUGUAGCGGUGAAAUGCGUAGAUAUCGGGAAGAACACCAGUGGCGAAGGCGCUCUGCUGGGCCAUAACUGACGCUCAUGGACGAAAGCCAGGGGAGCGAAAGGGAUUAGAUACCCCUGUAGUCCUGGCCGUAAACGAUGAACACUAGGUGUCGGGGGAAUCGACCCCCUCGGUGUCGUAGCCAACGCGUUAAGUGUUCCGCCUGGGGAGUACGCACGCAAGUGUGAAACUCAAAGGAAUUGACGGGGGCCCGCACAAGCGGUGGAGUAUGUGGUUUAAUUCGAUGCAACGCGAAGAACCUUACCAGGGUUUGACAUCCUGCGAACCUCUUGGAAACGAGAGGGUGCCUUCGGGAACGCAGUGACAGGUGGUGCAUGGCUGUCGUCAGCUCGUGUCGUGAGAUGUUGGGUUAAGUCCCGCAACGAGCGCAACCCACGUCUUUAGUUGCCAGCAUUUAGUUGGGCACUCUAGAGAGACCGCCGGUGAUAAACCGGAGGAAGGUGUGGAUGACGUCAAGUCAUCAUGCCCCUUACAUCCUGGGCUACACACGUACUACAAUGCUACGGACAAAGAGCAGCAAGUUCGCGAGGACAAGCAAAUCUCAUAAACCGUGGCUCAGUUCAGAUCGUAGGCUGCAACUCGCCUACGUGAAGGAGGAAUCGCUAGUAAUCGCAGGUCAGCAUACUGCGGUGAAUACGUUCCCGGGCCUUGUACACACCGCCCGUCACACCAUGGAAGUUGGCCACGCCCGAAGCCGUUACUCCAACCCUCGGGAGGAGGACGUCGAAGGUGGGGCUGAUGACUGGGGUGAAGUCGUAACAAGGUAGCCGUA